This 470-nucleotide ribosomal RNA is filed under the name uncultured Glomus. RNAcentral's name for it is "SSU rRNA". It matches the Rfam family "Eukaryotic small subunit ribosomal RNA", at positions 569 to 1045 of the family's 1831-position model. The record is from RNAcentral. Lineage: Eukaryota; Fungi; Glomeromycota; Glomeromycetes; Glomerales; Glomeraceae.
AGCAGCCGCGGUAAUUCCAGCUCCAAUAGCGUAUAUUAAAGUUGUUGCAGUUAAAAAGCUCGUAGUUGAAUUUCGGGAUCAAAGGAUCGGUCAUGCCUUGGUAUGUACUGGUUUUAUUGGUUCUCACCUUCUAAAGAACCAUAAUGUCAUUCAUUUGAUGUUAUGGGGAAUUAGGACUGUUACCUUGAAAAAUUAGAGUGUUUAAAGCAGGCUUACGCUUGAAUACAUUAGCAUGGAAUAAUGAAAUAGGACAUCAGAUUCUAUUUUGUUGGUUUCUAGGAUCGAUGUAAUGAUUAAUAGGGAUAGUUGGGGGCAUUAGUAUUCAAUUGUCAGAGGUGAAAUUCUUGGAUUUAUUGAAGACUAACUACUGCGAAAGCAUUUGCCAAGGAUGUUUUCAUUAAUCAAGAACGAAAGUUAGGGGAUCGAAGACGAUCAGAUACCGUCGUAGUCUUAACCAUAAACUAUGCCGA